Small nuclear RNA from Cynocephalus volans (Philippine flying lemur), 141 nucleotides. RefSeq annotates it as U4 spliceosomal RNA. The transcript has a single exon. The record is from RefSeq and is a predicted model, not a curated record. NCBI's taxonomy places the organism in Eukaryota, Metazoa, Chordata, Mammalia, Dermoptera, Cynocephalidae.
AGCUUUGCACAGUGGCAGUAUCACAGCCAAUGAGGUUUAUCCAAGGCAAAAUUACUGCUAAUUGAAAACUUUUCCCAAUACCCCACCAUGACGACUUGCAAUAUAGUUGGCAUUGGCAAUUUUUAACAGUCUCUAAGGAGA